CAACUCUGGGCCGGACUGAAGACAGAGACUCUGAACCAUCAGGAGGGUGUUAUUGGCUGUAGUUCUUCAGACCUGAGGGCAAGGGAGGUGGUCCCGGAGCAGAGAAACCUCAGGGCAGGUGGCUUUCUGGCUCACCUGAAAGCCUUCUAAGCCACUUCUCAGACAUUACCAAGUGGUCAUCACCAAGGAAACUUGGUAAAAAAGCAAUUGACCCUUACAAGCUGUAUCUUUGAGUGUAGAAAUGAGAGCACUUACAAAAGUGUUGUAAACUAGUUAGAAUCUGAGUGGGGCCUGGAGCGGUGAGUUUUGUUUUUUAAAACCUCCUAAUUAUUCAACACAGCCACUGCUCUGGGGGUGAAACUUGGUUCGGUAGAAAAGAGUUGAUGUCCAGAAAUCUGAAUUUUUAACAAGCACCCAAGGACUUCACUGCAGAUAUCACAGGGUUGGCAGAGUCCAGGAAUACCUUGAAUGACUGCAUCAAGCGCAAAGGAUUGGCCCAACUAGAUCAAGAUGAAAUGUGAUGGAAAUAAAGGUUUCCUGGAGGCAGUGACUCCUACAUCUUGAAGAUGAGCAAAGAAGUUACCAAAGAAGUGGAUGGAGGAAAAUAUUGUUACCAAAGAAGUCAAUGGUGGAUGGAGGGGCACCUUUGGAGAUAUGUGAGCAGAUCCUGGCAAGAGGGAGAUAUGUUACAAAUAUGUGCUUUGGUUGAAAUUAAUCAAGUAUGGAAAAAUUGAUACGAAAGGAGAAAAUGGAAGAAAAAGAAACCCAGUGAGGCUUUCAUACGCUUUGCAUCCCGAGGACUAGAAGAUUUCCUGGCAUAUUAGUUAAUGACUCUAAUUGGAGAGAUUGAUGAUGAAACACAUCAGUACAGGGUACUUCUCCUUCGUCUAAUUAAACUUCCUGAAUCCUGGAAUUUAAAUUAUACGUGGAGGUGCUCUGUCAAAAGAGACGCUCCUGCUUCUCCAGUAAUUGAAAGCAGCUGGACAUUUACCCGAUCCACAACAUCUGGGAAAUUUUCAUCUUUUUUUUUUUUUCCAAGAAUGUAUACACAUAAAAGCAAGUUUCCCAAAUAGAUUCCAAAUUUGUCCUCGUUCAAGCAUUUUUGUUGAUUUUAAUUUGUCAUUAAAGUUAUGUCAUAGAUGAAGGGGGACCUAAUUUAAGUUUGUACUUCAAUGCUUGUGUGUUUACCUGAGCCCUAGGUUUAUUCAGCCCUCAGGUCUAUGCUAAGGGCAUGACAUUUCAGGGUUAUUUCACAUGGGUUUAAGAUUCUUUUGUGGAAUGUGGCCUCUGAGUGAUAGCCCCGGGAGCUAGGUCAGAUAAGGAUGGAACUCGGGUAAACUCUGCCUCAGAAGUUGAGACUUCCUGGGGCUGUGUUAGCCUUCUGAAGCUGAUGAAAUGCUUCCCAAGAUGCUGGCAAGGUUUUGCCAAGGUGGAUCCCAGGCUCUGAUUUCACUUUUCUCUUUAUCUGGAAGAACCCUUCUUUCGAAGUGAGAUGGAAGUUAGUGUAAGACACAGGGGAUCUUAAAAUAUACAGCUCUUCUUUCUGGUGAAAAUCAUGUUCUCUGGAAGAAAAAGAAAAGUAGCCAGUUCUCCUUGAAACGCAGAAUUGCACAGUGCUUUUCUUGCAGACAAGACACGUAACCUUGGAAUGCAUCCGGCUUAAUGCAUACUGCCAGAUUCAUUACCCGGAAUAUUAAAAAGAAU
Molecule: long non-coding RNA, 1704 nt
Organism: Phacochoerus africanus (Common warthog)
Lineage: Eukaryota; Metazoa; Chordata; Mammalia; Artiodactyla; Suidae
Exons: 5
Source: RefSeq, a predicted model, not a curated record